CAGCCGCCGCGGUAAUACGGAGGGGGCUAGCGUUGUUCGGAAUUACUGGGCGUAAAGCGCACGUAGGCGGCUUGGUAAGUUAGAGGUGAAAGCCUGGAGCUCAACUCCAGAAUUGCCUUUAAGACUGCCGAGCUAGCAGGUGAGAGAGGUAAGUGGAAUUCCGAGUGUAGAGGUGAAAUUCGUAGAUAUUCGGAAGAACACCAGUGGCGAAGGCGGCUUACUGGCUCAUACUGGACGCUGAGGUGCGAAAGCGUGGGGAGCAAACAGGAUUAGAGACCCCGGUAGUCCCUGUCUCUUAUAC
Molecule: ribosomal RNA, 301 nt
Filed under: uncultured bacterium
Lineage: Bacteria
Description: partial 16S ribosomal RNA
Rfam family: Bacterial small subunit ribosomal RNA
Source: RNAcentral